Molecule: ribosomal RNA, 254 nt
Filed under: uncultured bacterium
Lineage: Bacteria
Description: partial 16S ribosomal RNA
Rfam family: Bacterial small subunit ribosomal RNA
Source: RNAcentral
UACGUAGGGUGCAAGCGUUAAUCGGAAUUACUGGGCGUAAAGCGUGCGCAGGCGGUUUUGUAAGUCAGAUGUGAAAUCCCCGGGCUUAACCUGGGAACUGCGUUUGAAACUACAAGGCUAGAGUGCGGCAGGGAGGGGGUGAAUUCCACGUGUAGCAGUGAAAUGCGUAGAGAUGCGGAGGAACACCGAUGGCGAAGGCAGCCCCCCUGGGCCAAUACUGACGCUCAGGCACGAAAGCGUGGGGAGCGAACAGG